UAGGGAAUCUUCGGCAAUGGACGAAAGUCUGACCGAGCAACGCCGCGUGAGUGAAGAAGGUUUUCGGAUCGUAAAACUCUGUUGUUAGAGAAGAACAAGGACGUUAGUAACUGAACGUCCCCUGACGGUAUCUAACCAGAAAGCCACGGCUAACUACGUGCCAGCAGCCGCGGUAAUACGUAGGUGGCAAGCGUUGUCCGGAAUUACUGGGCGUAAAGCGCACGCAGGCGGUCUGUCAAGUCGGAUGUGAAAUCCCCGGGCUCAACCUGGGAACUGCAUUCGAAACUGGCAGGCUAGAGUCUUGUAGAGGGGGGUAGAAUUCCAGGUGUAGCGGUGAAAUGCGUAGAGAUCUGGAGGAAUACCGGUGGCGAAGGCGGCCCCCUGGACAAAGACUGACGCUCAGGUGCGAAAGCGUGGGGAGCAAACAGG
This 429-nucleotide ribosomal RNA is filed under the name Chloroflexota bacterium. RNAcentral describes it as "Chloroflexi bacterium partial 16S ribosomal RNA". It matches the Rfam family "Bacterial small subunit ribosomal RNA", at positions 355 to 776 of the family's 1533-position model. The record is from RNAcentral. Lineage: Bacteria; Bacillati; Chloroflexota.